GCGCGAUUAAAGGAGCCAGCAAGAGAUUCCCUUAGUAGUGGCGAGCGAAAAGGGAACAGCCCAAACCCUGUCAUACGUGACGGGGGGUUGUAGGACCUCAACAUGAAGACUACUCCUAUUAGUCAAAGAUAUCUGGAAAGUUGCACCAAAGAGGGUGACAGUCCCGUAGACGAAAAUAGGGUAGAAUUCUAGAGUGUUCCUGAGUAGGGUCGGACACGUGUAAUCCGGCCUGAAUCUGGGAGGACCAACCUUCCAAGGCUAAAGAGAUUUGGAGAUCGAUAGUGAACAAGUACCGUGAGGGAAAGGUGAAAAGUACCCCGGUGAGGGGGAUGAAAUAGCAUCUGAAACUUUGUGCUUAUAAAGAGUCGGAGCCUGUCGCAAGACGGGUGACGGCGUACUUUUUGUAGAACGGGCCAACGAGUUAGUUGUACGGCGCUUGGUUAAGGGAGUAAUACCCGCAGCCAUAGUGAAAGCGAGGGUGAAUAACCCGUAUGUGUCGUGCACUAGACCCGAAACUGGGUGAGCUACCCAUGGUCAGGCUGAAGCCCGCUUAAACGCGGGUGGAGGGCCGAACCGACCGGUAUUGCAAAACCGGCGGAUGAACUGUGGGUAGGAUGGUGAAAAGCCUAUCGAACCCAGAUAUAGCUGGUUCUCCUCGAAAUAGCUUUAGGGCUAGCCUUGUGUAAAUUUUGAUGGGGGUAGAGCUCUAUUUAGGCUAGGGGACAUAAUAAGUCUACCAAACCUAGAUAAACUUCGAAUACCGUCAAAAGUUUCACAGGAGUCAGACUGUGACAGCUAAGUGCCAUAGUCAAAAGGGGUACAGCCCAGAUCAUCAUCUAAGGUCCCUAAUAAAGCUUAAGUGGCAAAGGAUGUGGGAUUACGUAUACAACCAGGAGGUUGGCUUAGAAGCAGCCAUUCCUUUAAAGAGUGCGUAACAGCUCACUGGUCUAUGUGAUCCUGCGCCGAAAAUAUAACGGGGCUCAAAGCUU
RNAcentral lists this ribosomal RNA (989 nucleotides) under Candidatus Peregrinibacteria bacterium. RNAcentral's name for it is "partial 23S ribosomal RNA". It matches the Rfam family "Bacterial large subunit ribosomal RNA", at positions 209 to 1190 of the family's 2925-position model. The record is from RNAcentral. Lineage: Bacteria; Candidatus Peregrinibacteriota.